Molecule: ribosomal RNA, 139 nt
Filed under: Glomus sp. (unid)
Lineage: Eukaryota; Fungi; Glomeromycota; Glomeromycetes; Glomerales; Glomeraceae
Source: RNAcentral
CAGUCGUACCUUCGGGUAAUCAGCCUUUCGAGUGCGAUUCUGUGGAGUGUGAGGAGCUAAACACCUUCAUGCCUGCAUAUUCGUGCUCUUGGGUGUACUUGCUCGUGUGGUUGGUUAACAUCAAUCGUUUCCCUUUCAA